Molecule: ribosomal RNA, 380 nt
Filed under: uncultured Cylindrospermum sp.
Lineage: Bacteria; Bacillati; Cyanobacteriota; Cyanophyceae; Nostocales; Nostocaceae
Description: bacterial SSU rRNA
Rfam family: Bacterial small subunit ribosomal RNA
Source: RNAcentral
CGAAAGCCUGACGGAGCAAGACCGCGUGAGGGAGGAAGGCUCUUGGGUUGUAAACCUCUUUUCUCAGGGAAGAACACAAUGACGGUACCUGAGGAAUCAGCCUCGGCUAACUCCGUGCCAGCAGCCGCGGUAAUACGGAGGAUGCAAGCGUUAUCCGGAAUGAUUGGGCGUAAAGCGUCCGCAGGUGGCUAUGUAAGUCUGCUGUUAAAGAGCAAAGCUUAACUUUGUAAAAGCAGUGGAAACUACAUAGCUAGAGUGCGUUCGGGGCAGAGGGAAUUCCUGGUGUAGCGGUGAAAUGCGUAGAGAUCAGGAAGAACACCGGUGGCGAAGGCGCUCUGCUAGGCCGCAACUGACACUGAGGGACGAAAGCUAGGGGAGCG